AUGUCCCGCAUAAAAUUUAUCUGUUUCUUUAUUGUACUAACCAGUACUAAUAAUAUUAUCCUUUUAUAUAUGUGGCUGCAGCAAAGUGGCGUACCAAAGCCUGUUGUUGUAGUUGGUUCUUCCUCUGCUCAUCCAGUACUAGUGGGUAGUGAUGAUCCUCCAGAAACUGCCCCAGCCACCAGUGGACAGAAGCGUAGAAAUUUAUCGCCAACUCAUGCUGACAAGGAAGCGAGGAACCCCCUCAAGCGCAAACUUGACUUUUCCCAUGGAUGUGAUUUUUCUGAACCAAUAACAUUGGACGGUCCGUCAUUAGAUGUUGAACUCAGUAACUUGGUUAAUGAUGAAGAUUUUGAUCACUUUCUCACGGGAGAAAAGGACCAUGGCCUUGGUGACCUCUCGAUUUAUCCGUCGAGGAUUAUACCAUUGGCGAGUGUGGCGCAAGUCGUCCACCUUCCAGCCCGGGUGUGA
Molecule: ribosomal RNA, 468 nt
Filed under: Triticum aestivum (bread wheat)
Lineage: Eukaryota; Viridiplantae; Streptophyta; Magnoliopsida; Poales; Poaceae
Description: partial small subunit ribosomal RNA
Source: RNAcentral